This 313-nucleotide ribosomal RNA is filed under the name uncultured eukaryote. RNAcentral's name for it is "partial 18S ribosomal RNA". It matches the Rfam family "Eukaryotic small subunit ribosomal RNA", at positions 1470 to 1796 of the family's 1831-position model. The record is from RNAcentral.
CCCUUAGAUGUUCUGGGCCGCACGCGUGCUACAAUGGCAAAAUCAACGAGUAUACCUUUGUCGACAGACAUGGGAAAUCUUUUCAGUUCUUGCCGUGAUGGGGCUAGACCCUUGUAAUUGUUGGUCUCCAACGAGGAAUUCCUAGUAAACGCAAGUCAUUAUCUUGCAUUGGUUACGUCCCUGCCCUUUGUACACACCGCCCGUCGCACCUACCGAUUGAAUGGUCCGGUGAAGUCUUCGGACUGGCAGCAUGUAUGUGCUUGCCGGGAAGUUGAGUAAACCUUACCAUUUAGAGGAAGGUGAAGUCGUAACA